AUACGGAGGAUCCGAGCGUUAUCCGGAUUUAUUGGGUUUAAAGGGAGCGUAGGCGGACGCUUAAGUCAGUUGUGAAAGUUUGCGGCUCAACCGUAAAAUUGCAGUUGAUGCUGGGUGUCUUGAGUACAGUAGAGGCAGGCGGGAUUCGUGGGGGAGCGGUGGAAUGCUUAGAUAUCACGAAGAACUCCGAUUGCGAAGGCAGCCUGCUGGACUGUAACUGACGCUGAUGCUCGAAAGUGUGGGUAUCAAACAGGAUUAGAUACCCUGGUAGUCCACACAGUAAACGAUGAAUACUCGCUGUUUGCGAUAUACAGUAAGCGGCCAAGCGAAAGCGUUAAGUAUUCCACCUGGGGAGUACGCCGGCAACGGUGAAACUCAAAUGAAUUGGCGGGG
RNAcentral lists this ribosomal RNA (393 nucleotides) under uncultured bacterium. Its description in RNAcentral is "partial 16S ribosomal RNA". It matches the Rfam family "Bacterial small subunit ribosomal RNA", at positions 523 to 918 of the family's 1533-position model. The record is from RNAcentral.